This 595-nucleotide small RNA is filed under the name Clostridium senegalense. The record is from RNAcentral. Lineage: Bacteria; Bacillati; Bacillota; Clostridia; Eubacteriales; Clostridiaceae.
ACAAUAUAAUAAGUGGUGCAGUAUUCUAGUCGGGUAAGUAUCUUUGAAGACGGGGCUAAAAAUCCGUUGAAGAGCAUAUCGAUGAAGUUCCUGGUGCUGGCUUGAGACGCCCAGUUUUGGGCUGGUGCUGGGAGUUAAGGUUGUGGGACAGACGCAAAGGCAUGUGGUCAUUGCUCCUACUUCCGUGGAGACCAUUGUAUGUGCUUUAGAAGAGAUGUCUAAAGUACGGCAAUGGAUUAAACCUGUAAUGUGGUGAGUUUAGCUAUGUGCAGUGUAGCUUGCCUUGAGUGAUAUAGGGGGAGGUUAGGUUGAGAUAACAAUUCUAGGCCAAGAAGUGUUAUUAAUUGCUUACUGAAACCUAUGUUGCAAAAGAGGAUAAAAAGAUACCCAACUGUUGAGGAAAUCUCCUAGACUGUUCUAAAAGAGACAUAUUAGGGAUUGUGGUGCGGACUAAGUGGUAAUCUGGCCCUAUGCAUUAGCAUAGAUAAGAUAUUCAAAGGAAACUGCUAAAAUGGCGACAUUUUAGUUAUCUUAUGGGAAAUCCUGCUAGACCUAAGCCGUAAAAUUAACUUAAUAUGUCACCACUUGUUUAAUU